Molecule: non-coding RNA, 93 nt
Organism: Acanthosepion pharaonis
Lineage: Eukaryota; Metazoa; Mollusca; Cephalopoda; Sepiida; Sepiidae
Source: the annotation of a GenBank genome assembly
AACACCGAUUCCUGUACAAUCACCGAAGUUAAGCAACGUUGAGCCUUGACAGUUCCUAGAUGGGAGAUCCUUUGGGAAUACCAGGUGCUGUAA